RNAcentral lists this non-coding RNA (152 nucleotides) under Magnetospirillum moscoviense. Its description in RNAcentral is "Burkholderia RNA 11". It matches the Rfam family "Burkholderia RNA 11". From Rfam's summary of the family: Co-purified with Hfq, expression confirmed by Northern blot. Predicted target marZ. Overlaps coding sequence. Lineage: Bacteria; Pseudomonadati; Pseudomonadota; Alphaproteobacteria; Rhodospirillales; Rhodospirillaceae. The record is from Rfam by way of RNAcentral.
UCGGCCUGAAUCUGGUGCGCGAGACCGCCACGCUUUACGGCCUGGUCAGGAAACAGCGCGACCUGUUCUUGUCGGUGAUGGGCAUUUCGUGGUUCUGGCUGGUGGGCGCGACCUAUCUGUCGCAAUUCCCCGCCUUCGCCAAGGACGUGCUG